This 2925-nucleotide ribosomal RNA is filed under the name Shigella flexneri 5a str. M90T. Its description in RNAcentral is "23S ribosomal RNA". It matches the Rfam family "Bacterial large subunit ribosomal RNA". Lineage: Bacteria; Pseudomonadati; Pseudomonadota; Gammaproteobacteria; Enterobacterales; Enterobacteriaceae. The record is from RNAcentral.
GGGUUGUGAGGUUAAGCGACUAAGCGUACACGGUGGAUGCCCUGGCAGUCAGAGGCGAUGAAGGACGUGCUAAUCUGCGAUAAGCGUCGGUAAGGUGAUAUGAACCGUUAUAACCGGCGAUUUCCGAAUGGGGAAACCCAGUGUGAUUCGUCACACUAUCAUUAACUGAAUCCAUAGGUUAAUGAGGCGAACCGGGGGAACUGAAACAUCUAAGUACCCCGAGGAAAAGAAAUCAACCGAGAUUCCCCCAGUAGCGGCGAGCGAACGGGGAGCAGCCCAGAGCCUGAAUCAGUGUGUGUGUUAGUGGAAGCGUCUGGAAAGGCGUGCGAUACAGGGUGACAGCCCCGUACACAAAAAUGCACAUACUGUGAGCUCGAUGAGUAGGGCGGGACACGUGGUAUCCUGUCUGAAUAUGGGGGGACCAUCCUCCAAGGCUAAAUACUCCUGACUGACCGAUAGUGAACCAGUACCGUGAGGGAAAGGCGAAAAGAACCCCAGCGAGGGGAGUGAAAAAGAACCUGAAACCGUGUACGUACAAGCAGUGGGAGCACGCUUAGGCGUGUGACUGCGUACCUUUUGUAUAAUGGGUCAGCGACUUAUAUUCUGUAGCAAGGUUAACCGAAUAGGGGAGCCGAAGGGAAACCGAGUCUUAACUGGGCGUUAAGUUGCAGGGUAUAGACCCGAAACCCGGUGAUCUAGCCAUGGGCAGGUUGAAGGUUGGGUAACACUAACUGGAGGACCGAACCGACUAAUGUUGAAAAAUUAGCGGAUGACUUGUGGCUGGGGGUGAAAGGCCAAUCAAACCGGGAGAUAGCUGGUUCUCCCCGAAAGCUAUUUAGGUAGCGCCUCGUGAAUUCAUCUCCGGGGGUAGAGCACUGUUUCGGCAAGGGGGUCAUCCCGACUUACCAACCCGAUGCAAACUGCGAAUACCGGAGAAUGUUAUCACGGGAGACACACGGCGGGUGCUAACGUCCGUUGUGAAGAGGGAAACAACCCAGACCGCCAGCUAAGGUCCCAAAGUCAUGGUUAAGUGGGAAACGAUGUGGGAAGGCCCAGACAGCCAGGAUGUUGGCUUAGAAGCAGCCAUCAUUUAAAGAAAGCGUAAUAGCUCACUGGUCGAGUCGGCCUGCGCGGAAGAUGUAACGGGGCUAAACCAUGCACCGAAGCUGCGGCAGCGACGCUUAUGCGUUGUUGGGUAGGGGAGCGUUCUGUAAGCCUGUGAAGGUGUGCUGUGAGGUAUGCUGGAGGUAUCAGAAGUGCGAAUGCUGACAUAAGUAACGAUAAAGCGGGUGAAAAGCCCGCUCGCCGGAAGACCAAGGGUUCCUGUCCAACGUUAAUCGGGGCAGGGUGAGUCGACCCCUAAGGCGAGGCCGAAAGGCGUAGUCGAUGGGAAACAGGUUAAUAUUCCUGUACUUGGUGUUACUGCGAAGGGGGGACGGAGAAGGCUAUGUUGGCCGGGCGACGGUUGUCCCGGUUUAAGCGUGUAGGCUGGUUUUCCAGGCAAAUCCGGAAAAUCAAGGCCGAGGCGUGAUGACGAGGCACUACGGUGCUGAAGCAACAAAUGCCCUGCUUCCAGGAAAAGCCUCUAAGCAUCAGGUAACAUCAAAUCGUACCCCAAACCGACACAGGUGGUCAGGUAGAGAAUACCAAGGCGCUUGAGAGAACUCGGGUGAAGGAACUAGGCAAAAUGGUGCCGUAACUUCGGGAGAAGGCACGCUGAUACGUAGGUGAAGCGACUUGCUCGUGGAGCUGAAAUCAGUCGAAGAUACCAGCUGGCUGCAACUGUUUAUUAAAAACACAGCACUGUGCAAACACGAAAGUGGACGUAUACGGUGUGACGCCUGCCCGGUGCCGGAAGGUUAAUUGAUGGGGUUAGCGCAAGCGAAGCUCUUGAUCGAAGCCCCGGUAAACGGCGGCCGUAACUAUAACGGUCCUAAGGUAGCGAAAUUCCUUGUCGGGUAAGUUCCGACCUGCACGAAUGGCGUAAUGAUGGCCAGGCUGUCUCCACCCGAGACUCAGUGAAAUUGAACUCGCUGUGAAGAUGCAGUGUACCCGCGGCAAGACGGAAAGACCCCGUGAACCUUUACUAUAGCUUGACACUGAACAUUGAGCCUUGAUGUGUAGGAUAGGUGGGAGGCUUUGAAGUGUGGACGCCAGUCUGCAUGGAGCCGACCUUGAAAUACCACCCUUUAAUGUUUGAUGUUCUAACGUGGACCCGUGAUCCGGGUUGCGGACAGUGUCUGGUGGGUAGUUUGACUGGGGCGGUCUCCUCCUAAAGAGUAACGGAGGAGCACGAAGGUUGGCUAAUCCUGGUCGGACAUCAGGAGGUUAGUGCAAUGGCAUAAGCCAGCUUGACUGCGAGCGUGACGGCGCGAGCAGGUGCGAAAGCAGGUCAUAGUGAUCCGGUGGUUCUGAAUGGAAGGGCCAUCGCUCAACGGAUAAAAGGUACUCCGGGGAUAACAGGCUGAUACCGCCCAAGAGUUCAUAUCGACGGCGGUGUUUGGCACCUCGAUGUCGGCUCAUCACAUCCUGGGGCUGAAGUAGGUCCCAAGGGUAUGGCUGUUCGCCAUUUAAAGUGGUACGCGAGCUGGGUUUAGAACGUCGUGAGACAGUUCGGUCCCUAUCUGCCGUGGGCGCUGGAGAACUGAGGGGGGCUGCUCCUAGUACGAGAGGACCGGAGUGGACGCAUCACUGGUGUUCGGGUUGUCAUGCCAAUGGCACUGCCCGGUAGCUAAAUGCGGAAGAGAUAAGUGCUGAAAGCAUCUAAGCACGAAACUUGCCCCGAGAUGAGUUCUCCCUGACCCUUUAAGGGUCCUGAAGGAACGUUGAAGACGACGACGUUGAUAGGCCGGGUGUGUAAGCGCAGCGAUGCGUUGAGCUAACCGGUACUAAUGAACCGUGAGGCUUAACCUUACAACGCCGAAG